Molecule: unclassified non-coding RNA, 268 nt
Filed under: uncultured fungus
Lineage: Eukaryota; Fungi
Description: sequence contains ITS2
Rfam family: 5.8S ribosomal RNA (bases 1-52)
Source: RNAcentral
AACGCACAUUGCGCCCUUUGGUAUUCCGAAGGGCAUGCCUGUUCGAGCGUCAUUAUCACCCCUCAAGCCCCGUGCUUGGUGUUGGACGGCCGGUCGAGCGAUCGACCCCUCCGAAAGACAAUGACGGCGGCCUGUGGUUCCCCCGGUACACUGAGCUUCUUACCGAGCACGUACCGGACGAGGGCACCCGGGACCCCGGUCCUCUCCUUUCACUAGGAAACUUCUCAAGGUUGACCUCGGAUCAGGUAGGAAUACGCGCUGAACUUAA